Helianthus annuus (common sunflower) is the source of this 1082-nucleotide long non-coding RNA. RefSeq lists it as uncharacterized. Lineage: Eukaryota; Viridiplantae; Streptophyta; Magnoliopsida; Asterales; Asteraceae. The record is from RefSeq and is a predicted model, not a curated record. The transcript has 5 exons.
CAUUCAGUUUCCCACCGUCACAAUUAAGUUAUCACAUCUAGGGUUCUGAUUCUGAACUUUGCUCCCUAAAAUCCCCAAAAUCUCUAGAACCAUCACUUCCGCUCCACCAUCACCAAUCGAAUCAUCCUCUACUCCACCUCAUUGUCGAUGAUCCAAAACCCUAAUCGCUCCCAAAAAUGGCAACCGUUGGACUUCAGCAACGAGCAAAUGAUUUCUUAGGGUUCGGUUUGUUGGGAACUAUGACUAACGUCUUGUUAUUCUUAAUCGAAGUUUUGUAGAUGAUACAAAAAAUAAACAAAGCUUUGAGCGCAGAUGAUUCUGACUAAACGAUCUCACAGGAAGUUUUUCAUGAUUUUCGCUUGGAUUUCAAAAGGGAUGUUGUCUGACAUCUUGAUCUUGAUUAUGAACGAUGCUUAAUAUUUAGGGUUUACGAAGGGAAUAUAUAGGGGAUGGUUGUGUAUUAAAUUAGAGCAGUCGAUGUGGUAAGGAUAUAUGGAAAUAAAGAACACAAGACUAGGGUAGGAGGUGCCAUUCCGGCGGUCGGAAAUCCUCACCGAUGGUAUUUCAUGAAUGAGUCUGGCUGGAAACUAUAUUUUGGUUUUGGUUUCAAUUGAUUAUAUGAGCUGGGAUUUCUUUAUCUUGGAUUAUCAUUGAAUCUUAUUUUCAUACACUAUACUACUGUUCUUCUGAAUUGAGGAUAGGUUGUGAUGAUCUUUAAAAUUGGUUGUGUGUUUGUGUUUUUUAUGAAUAAUAGAUUACAGGUCAAGGAUGAAGUAGUAGGUUACAAGUAGUAGAAGCAAGGAUACAAGUUUGAUUUUCAAAGGAUUUCACCACCAAAAGCAACAUGAAUUUCGAUACCAGAAGUUGAGCACAGAGCAAAGCUAGAUUCAACCCCAUUUGCCAAUCCUAAAAAGCGCAAGUCGGUUUCGACUUAGGCUGUUGUGGCAAUUCAGACGUUUAAUACUUGAGUCUCUGAGUGCAAAUUUGCAUCAUGAGUUAGACUAUCAGCUACUAUGGUUACUAUGAUUGAAAAGUUGAACUUAGUUAUCAAGGAGCUCAUUAAAGAAAAGGAUGAAGAAAAA